This 404-nucleotide ribosomal RNA is filed under the name uncultured bacterium. RNAcentral describes it as "partial 16S ribosomal RNA". It matches the Rfam family "Bacterial small subunit ribosomal RNA", at positions 28 to 526 of the family's 1533-position model. The record is from RNAcentral.
GAUGAACGCUGACAGAAUGCUUAACACAUGCAAGUCAACUGUGGCGGACGGGUGAGUAACGCGUAAAGAACUUGCCUCCCAGCUAGGGACAACAUUUGGAAACGAAUGCUAAUACCUGAUACUGUGAGAGAGCUUUGUGUCCCAUUAGCUAGUUGGAGAGGUACCGGCUCACCAAGGCGAUGAUGGGUAGCCGGCCUGAGAGGGUGAUCGGCCAAAAGGGGACUGAGACACAGCCCUUACUCCUACGGGAGGCAGCAGUGAGGAAUCUUGGACAAUGGACCAAAGUCUGAGCGAGAAAUUCUGGGUGCACGAUGAAGUUUUCGGAAUGUAAAGAGCUUUGAGUUGGGAAGCGGUACCAGCAGAAGAAGUGACGGCUAAAUACGUGCCAGCAGCCGCGGUAAUAC